This 460-nucleotide ribosomal RNA is filed under the name uncultured bacterium. RNAcentral describes it as "partial 16S ribosomal RNA". It matches the Rfam family "Bacterial small subunit ribosomal RNA", at positions 338 to 795 of the family's 1533-position model. The record is from RNAcentral.
CCUACGGGUGGCAGCAGUGAGGAAUAUUGGUCAAUGGACGCAAGUCUGAACCAGCCAUGCCGCGUGCAGGAAGACGGCUCUCUGAGUUGUAAACUGCUUUUGUACGAGGGUAAACGCAGAUACGCGUAUCUGUCUGAAAGUAUCGUACGAAUAAGGAUCGGCUAACUCCGUGCCAGCAGCCGCGGUAAUACGGAGGAUUCAAGCGUUAUCCGGAGUUAUUGGGUUUAAAGGGUGCGUAGGCGGUCGGAUAAGUUAGAGGUGAAAUCCCGAGGCUCAACUUCGGAAUUGCCUCUGAUACUGUUAGGCUAGAGAGUAGUGGCGGUAGGUGGAAUGUAUGGUGUAGCGGUGAAAUGCGUAGAGAUCAUACAGAACACCGAUUGCGAAGGCAGCUUACCAAGCUACUUCUGACGUUGAGGCACGAAAGCGUGGGGAGCAAACAGGAUUAGAUACCCCAGUAGUC